CCUACGGGAGGCAGCAGUAAGGAAUAUUGGACAAUGGGCGCAAGCCUGAUCCAGCCAUUCCGCGUGUAGGAUGACGGCCCUCUGGGUUGUAAACUACUUUUAUUUGGGAAGAAACCCUGGGAUUUAUCCCGGGCUGACGGUACCAAAAGAAUAAGCACCGGCUAAUUCCGUGCCAGCAGCCGCGGUAAUACGGAAGGUGCAAGCGUUAUCCGGAAUCACUGGGUUUAAAGGGUGCGUAGGCGGUUGCGUAAGUCAGAAGUGAAAGCUCACAGCUUAACUGUGGAAUUGCUUUUGAUACUGCGCGACUAGAAUCAGGUUGAGGUUGGCGGAAUGUGACAUGUAGCGGUGAAAUGCAUAGAUAUGUCACAGAACACCAAUUGCGAAGGCAGCUGACUGGACCUGCAUUGACGCUGAGGCACGAAAGCGUGGGGAGCGAACAGGAUUAGAUACCCUGGUAGUCCACGCCCUAAACGAUGCUUACUCGAUGUGUGAAAUAUUGCGCAUCCAAGGGAAACCGUUAAGUAAGCCACCUGGGGAGUACGUUCGCAAGAAUGAAACUCAAAGGAAUGACGG
This 573-nucleotide ribosomal RNA is filed under the name uncultured bacterium. RNAcentral's name for it is "bacterial SSU rRNA". It matches the Rfam family "Bacterial small subunit ribosomal RNA", at positions 338 to 916 of the family's 1533-position model. The record is from RNAcentral.